CUCAGAAUCAACGCUGGCGGCGUGCCUAACACAUGCAAGUCGAACGAGAAAGUGGGGGCAACUCCACAAGUAAAGUGGCAGACGGGUGAGUAACACGUGAACAACCUACCCUCGAGUGUGGAAUAACACCGCGAAAGCGGUGCUAAUACCGCAUAACAUCUUCGGAUCGCAUGAUCUGGAGAUCAAAAGCGAAAGUUGCUUGAGGAGGGGUUCGCGCCUGAUUAGCUAGUUGGUGAGGUAACGGCCCACCAAGGCUGCGAUCAGUAGCCGGCCUGAGAGGGCGAACGGCCACACUGGAACUGAGACACGGUCCAGACUCCUACGGGAGGCAGCAGUGGGGAAUUUUGCGCAAUGGGCGAAAGCCUGACGCAGCAACGCCGCGUGGAGGAUGAAGGCCUUCGGGUCGUAAACUCCUGUCAGUGGGGACGAAUGCUUCGCAAGAAGUUUGACUGUACCCGCUGAGGAAGCCACGGCUAACUCCGUGCCAGCAGCCGCGGUAAUACGGAGGUGGCAAGCGUUGUUCGGAAUUACUGGGCGUAAAGGGCGCGUAGGCGGCAUGGCAAGUCAGAUGUGAAAGCCCCGGGCUUAACUCGGGAAUUGCAUCUGAAACUGCUUUGCUUGAGUCCUGGAUGGGAUAGUGGAAUUCCCAGUGUAGCGGUGAAAUGCGUAGAUAUUGGGAGGAACACCUGCGGCGAAGGCGGCUAUCUGGACAGUGACUGACGCUGAGGCGCGAAAGCUAGGGGAGCGAACGGGAUUAGAUACCCCGGUAGUCCUAGCCGUAAACGAUGGGCACUUGGUGUUGGGGGUAUUGAGUCCCUCGGUGCCGGAGUUAACACGUUAAGUGCCCCGCCUGGGGAGUACGGUCGCAAGACUGAAACUCAAAU
This 884-nucleotide ribosomal RNA is filed under the name uncultured bacterium. RNAcentral's name for it is "bacterial SSU rRNA". It matches the Rfam family "Bacterial small subunit ribosomal RNA", at positions 23 to 906 of the family's 1533-position model. The record is from RNAcentral.